CCUACGGGAGGCUGCAGUGGGGGAUAUUGCACAAUGGGGGGAACCCUGAUGCAGCGACGCCGCGUGGGGGAAGAAGGGCCUCGGCGCGGAAAGCCCUGUCAGCAGGGAAGAAAAUGACGGUACGUGAAGAAGAAGCCCCGGCUAACUACGUGCCAGCAGCCGCGGGAAUACGUAGGGGGCAAGCGUUAUCCGGCUUUACUGGGUGUAAAGGGGGCGCAGACGGCGAUGCAAGCCAGGAGGGAAAGCCCGGGGCCCAACCCCGGGACUGCUCUUGGAACUGCGUGGCUGGAGUGCAGGAGGGGCAGGCGUACUUCCUGGUGUCGCGGUGAAAUGCGUAGAUAUCAGGAGGAACACCGGUGGCGCAGGCGGCCUGCUGGACUGCAACUGACGUUGAGGCCCG
This 400-nucleotide ribosomal RNA is filed under the name uncultured bacterium. RNAcentral describes it as "partial 16S ribosomal RNA". It matches the Rfam family "Bacterial small subunit ribosomal RNA", at positions 338 to 755 of the family's 1533-position model. The record is from RNAcentral.